RNAcentral lists this long non-coding RNA (465 nucleotides) under Medicago truncatula (barrel medic). RNAcentral describes it as "long non-coding RNA (MTRU_LNC001518)". The record is from RNAcentral. Lineage: Eukaryota; Viridiplantae; Streptophyta; Magnoliopsida; Fabales; Fabaceae.
CUUUGAUUUGUACUCAGAAUUGGCUGAAACCAUCUUUCGUCAACUUCAAAGAUCUAAAUUUGAGUGAAGAGUAUGAGCUGUUGGAAAAUGUUGUGGCAGGUAAAUUAUUAAUUUUUCAAUAAAUUCGUAUUUUUAUUAUGCGCAUUUGAUAUUGCUUAAUUAUUUGACUUGUUUCUCAUAUAUUGUUUUCCAUGCAUUUUAGAAAUUGGACAAGUCUUGAGUGGAGUAGAUGUUGGUCCUGCUACUGGUGUUGCACCAGCAACUGGGCUCUAAUUCCAUUUUAUGGUAAAAAACAUUAAUUUUUUACUAUUUUAUAUAUUAUGUAUUGCAUAUGUAUGUAUAUUUAUUUAGUGUAAUUUUAUGUACUGCAGGAGUGACUUUUCUUGGGAUAUUUUGGAGUCAAAUGUGACUUGUACUACAGAGCACAUGCCUAUGGUUUUUGAUAACGAAGUUGAUGUGGAACCU